This is an RNA transcript of Eucalyptus grandis, 1241 nucleotides long. It is a transcript of the gene named protein DETOXIFICATION 34, with no coding region annotated. The transcript is spliced from 6 exons. Lineage: Eukaryota; Viridiplantae; Streptophyta; Magnoliopsida; Myrtales; Myrtaceae. The record is from RefSeq and is a predicted model, not a curated record.
CCACAGAAUCCACACGACGCUUUUAGUUUUCACUCAGUUCUCUCUUCACCCGUCCGUUCUCCACCUCUGCUCGACGCCACCGCCGGUCGCCCUCGACGCCAUCGCCGGUCUCCCUCGACGCCACUGCUGCUGAUCUCUGCUCGAGGGUCGAGGCCACCUUCGCUCGCCCUCGACGGCACCGCGGCUGACCGUUUGCCCUCGACGGCACCGUCGCUCGCCCUCGACACCACUGCUCGCUGAUCCCUGCUCGAGGCCAACUCCUCUCGCCCUCGACGGCACCGCCGCUAACCUCUGGCUCGCCGCUCGCCCUCGACGCCACCGCCGCUCGCCCUCGACGCCACCACUCGCUGACCCCUGCUCGAGGCCACCUCCGCUCUCCCUCGACGGCACCGCCGCUGACCUCUGGCUCGCCGCUUGCCCUCGACGCCACCGUCGCUCGCCGACCUUUGCUCGACGCCACCGCCGCUCGCCCUCAACGCCACCGAUGACCUCUACUUGGCGAGCCACUGGAGCUGCGCGUCAAUAGUGGGUUUGGUGGCAUUGCUUUGAGCAUGAACAUACUGGGGCAGACACUCAUGGGCCAUGGCGGCUCUUGGAAUGAAUGCAGCCAUAAGUGUGAGGGUGUCAAAUGAACUCGGAGCAGCUCAUCCAAGAACGGCAAAGUUCUCACUCAUAGUGGCAGUGAUCUCCUCAUUCAUGGUUGGUCUGGUCUUGUUGGCGAUCUUGCUUGCCACUCAGGACAUAUAUCCGUCCCUAUUCUCUAGAGAUUUGUAAGGAUGGCGAAAAUCAGUCAUUUAGCACCAUCUGAAAUGUAAAUAUGUUCAUCGAAGGACAACUUGUGAAAAUGAGGACUUACAAGCCUGGUGGUUGUGGUAAAGGUUGUGGUUCCAACAGUACAGCUCCUCCAUGCACUGGGUUGAUAGAGAUGAUGGCUCCAGUUUUCUCCAGUGUUGCCUGGCGCUGUGUAUGGUAUAUGAUUCAGGUGUGCCAUUUUAUUGCGUCUAGUGUUUGUCUUUUUCUAAGACAUCAAAGUGUCUGCUUGUAUAUUGGGGCCAUGUCAAUCAGAAGAGAUCUCUACGUCAGAUAGGUAGGCAUUGAGUUGUGGAAGAUGAUAUCUUUAUCGUAUAGGCAUUGAGUUGUGGAAGAUGAUAUCUUUAUCGUAUGAGUUUGAAUUUGACUUUGAAUUGGAUGCUGUUUGCUAUGGACCAGAAUAAUAAAGUAGGAAACUGCCUCAUUGAUAA